AUACUUACCUGGCAGGGAAGACACCAUGAUCAGGCAGGUGGUUUUCUCAGGGUGAGGUGCAUCCCCUGUACUCCAGGUGUGCUGACCCUUGCAAUGUCCCCAAAUGCAGGAAACUUGACUGCAUCAUUUGUGGUAGUGGGGGACUGCAUCCCCGC
RNAcentral lists this small nuclear RNA (155 nucleotides) under Falco tinnunculus (common kestrel). RNAcentral describes it as "U1 spliceosomal RNA (ENSFTIG00000001941.1)". It matches the Rfam family "U1 spliceosomal RNA". Rfam says of the family: U1 is a small nuclear RNA (snRNA) component of the spliceosome (involved in pre-mRNA splicing). Its 5' end forms complementary base pairs with the 5' splice junction, thus defining the 5' donor site of an intron. Lineage: Eukaryota; Metazoa; Chordata; Aves; Falconiformes; Falconidae. The record is from Rfam by way of RNAcentral.